AUGCUUGUUUUGGCAGCACAUAUACUAAAAUUAGAACAUUACAGAGAAGAUUAGCAUGGUUUCUGUGCAAGAUGACACUCAAAUUCGCUAAGUGUUCCAUUUCUGC
RNAcentral lists this small nuclear RNA (106 nucleotides) under Notamacropus eugenii (tammar wallaby). Lineage: Eukaryota; Metazoa; Chordata; Mammalia; Diprotodontia; Macropodidae. The record is from RNAcentral.